Non-coding RNA from Xyrichtys novacula (pearly razorfish), 3177 nucleotides. Lineage: Eukaryota; Metazoa; Chordata; Actinopteri; Labriformes; Labridae. The record is from the annotation of a GenBank genome assembly.
UUAAAGGGAUAUUCCAGCGUAAAAUUAAGUUAGGGUCAAACACAAUAUAACAACGAGUUAGACACCCCUUCGAGAGAUGAAUGUUGCCGACCGCUUGAUUCUCUAGUUAUACCAACUUUAGUAAUGACCGCACAAUAGCAAAACAAAGAGCCACGCGCUCAACCAAAUAGCCACUCUAUAGCCACAAAUAAUGCUCAGAACAGCACCUAACUUCAUCAACAGUACAUAUAGGGUCCUAGCCACAGCAUUAGCCACCAAACAUAUUUUUAGCUUUGCCUAAUUUCUUUAGCAAAGAGACUAAACACAACUCACCGUCUCCCUUCCAGCAGCCGCUUGUUUUUUGUGAGACCUCCGGGCGAGUCCAUCGACUGCAGUGGGAGGACACCGUUGAAGGAAGAACUUACAUUUAGCAUUGUAGCGACAAGUAACUACAGUUGUUGCUUUCCUGUUAGCUUGUUAACAUGAGCUAGCUUGCUAAAAAAAUUGGGAGAAACAAAGCAGUAACGCUAAAGGUGUAAUACAAAAAACAAUAUCACAAUGACUGACUUACAAUUUAAAGGAAAAGUAAGAAUAUAAUAUCCUACUCUGUCCUUUGUGUUGUAGAGUCAUCCUGAGAUGACGGAAGUGGAGCCAGUGUUGGACUUUGCCUCCUCAGGACGCUCAGGUAGGAGAAAUGCCCUGCCUGACAUCCUGGGCUCUCCGGCGGGUGUAAAUCCUGGAGACCUGCCUCUGAAGCUGGCUGAGCUGUCCCUCAAAGGUAAAGAAACUAAUGGCUUCCUUUACUUUCUGAUAAAACUGACCAGUAGACAAGUUCAAACCGUAGUCAUCUUAUCCUUUGAGUUUGUGGUGCAAAUCUUGAACCAAGCAAUGUAGUUUGACAGGAUGUAAGAGUGCAUGAUGACAUUAUUAGAAUAUGUGAUAGCGGAACUAAAAUCACCUGUGAUGCAGAAACUUAUAUAGAAAUAAGUAAAAUCAUUAUAAGAAAAUUGUUAAAUACAGGGCUGAAGCAGUUCAGUGAUGCAGAAUCCUGAUAGUUUUUCAAAUUAAUGACUAAAUUAUAUAUAAAAAGUCAGAUGUAACUAGGUAAAUAGUCACUCUUUAUCUUUCAGGACAAUUUUACACACUAGGAAAUUUUCUAACUGUACAGGACAAGGCAUCACUUUAAAUUCAAACUUAUCCAUUGCCAGAAACUAUUAGCUGUCAUUUCAGCUGUGCACACAAGGCUGAAGCAGUUGGUUCCUCAUGGCUGCCUGAUUUGGCACAGAUUUAGGGCUUGAAAUUCAGGGUUAAAAGGUAGCUGUGGUUAGCGGAAAUCAAGAUGGCUUUGUGAAAAGGUUGCCACUCGGGAAUUUGGUAUAUCUCACUAAUUCCAUGCCUCAUCACGACUCUGGCAACAGCGUGACUGUCAUGCUCAGUGAAUAUAGACAACAGUUGGGAUGAGUAUUUUUGGCUGAAAGGGUAGCAUAGCAAACAAAUGAGCAUGAUGCAUAAUCAAAUAGGCUUUAAUGGUGCUGUUUGUCUUGAAAGAUGAAAAAUCUAUGAAGUGAAAUUUAGUUUAAAAUGUCUUAUUGACCAAUUAUAGGACUUUAAUUUUUCCUUGAAGUGCAUCUGAAAAACAUGGGGUCAGUCUUUCAACAGGACAUGUGUAGAAUUAAGCUGAAAAGGCUUGAUGGAAAUGCAAUAUAGUAUUCCUAAGUAUGUUUAAUUAGUGUUACAUCUACUGUACAUAAGGAGCCGAUCCUCUUCACUAGAACUUGACUAAUGGAGCAUCAUAGUUAUCAUAUAUCACAGGGACUUAAUGUCCUCUAAAGCCAGAAAUGAUUCUGAAAAUUUUCUGAUGAAGUGAUGAGCGAGGGAGAGUUUUUCAGUCUAGGAUCUGAUAGAUAAAUAUUCUUAUUUCAACUCACUGUUCCAUUAAAGGGAUAUUCCAGCGUAAAAUUAAGUUAGGCUCAAACACACCGUAACACUGAGUUAGACACUCCCUCAAGAGAUGAAUGUUGCCCACCGCUUGCUUCUCUAGUUAUACCAACUUUAGUAACGACCGCACGAUAGCAAAACAGAGAGCCACACCUAGCCUUGAGAGCCUCAACUAAAACGCCACUCUAUAGCCACAAAUAAUGCUCAGAACAGCACCUAACUUCAUCAACAGUACAUAUAGGGUCCCAGCCACAGCACUAGCCACCAAACAUCUUAACUUUGCCUAAUUUCUUUAGCAAAGAAACUUAACACAACACACCUACUCUCUUCCAGCAGCCUCUUGUUUGUACAGAGACCUCCGGGCGAGUCCAUCAACUGCAGCGGGGGGACGCAGCUCAAGGAAGAACAUUUAUGAUCAUUACUUCAUGGUAAUGCAGUCAGACCAAGAUGUUUGGGCAGAAGAACUACCACGUCUGCAGUGCAAAAUGAUUAAUAUGGUGAUUAUUACUUCAAGUCAAUGAUUAAACAAAUGAUCAUAAAUGUUCUCCCUUGAGCUGUGUCACCCCACUGCAGUCAAUGAUGGACUUGCCGGGAGGUCUCGUAACUCUAUUUUAAGGACCCUUACUUAAUUUUAGGCCGGAAUAUCCCUUUUAAAAGACAAUAUUUGCUCACAACGGUUAACACUGCAAACUUAGACAAGGCGAUGAUGCAGAUUUUACAGUAAGAUAAGGGCUUUAAAUGGAGAAAAACGUUUUUAAAAACUCUUAAGCAGGGAAAAAAUGAUGGUGUCACAAAGUGUAAUGUAUGAUGAACCCCAAAAGAUUGUCUCAAAAUGCAAGUCUGGUCAUGUUCUGAAGAACUAGAAUGGCAUAACACCCAUGAACAGAUCUGUAACCUACACAAAAGGGAUUAGGAACAUUAUUUUGAAGGUGUUAAAAACAACCACCUACCUCAUAAUAUUUUGAGAGUUUUUUUUUAAAUUAUUUUUUAUUAAAAUGUUUUGUUUUCAUCAUAAAAAAAUAUAUAUUUUUAAAGUCUUGCAAAAAUUAUCUUGAAAAGGGGCUUGUCCUUUGACCACGGUGGCCUUAUAUUCAGGGAAAAACAGUUUUUCUGCAGUAUUUUGGCAGAAAGUUGGAAAUGUUUAAUGUUCACUCACAAGGACUAGAAGUAAUAAAUUCUCCUUUUUACAAGUAGGUUUUCCCAUUAGCUUGUGUUUUUUGGCUGUAUGUCUGUCUCAAUUUGUGUUAAUGAAAGGCUAGG